Molecule: ribosomal RNA, 489 nt
Filed under: uncultured bacterium
Lineage: Bacteria
Description: partial 16S ribosomal RNA
Rfam family: Bacterial small subunit ribosomal RNA
Source: RNAcentral
UUGAACGCUGGCGGCAGGCCUAACCCCUGCAAGUCGAACGGUAACAGGAAGAAGCUUGCUUCUUUGCUGACGAGUAGCGGACGGGUGAGUAAUGUCUGGGAAACUGCCUGAUGGAGGGGGAUAACUACUGGAAACGGUAGCUAAUACCGCAUAACGUCGCAAGACCAAAGAGGGGGACCUUCGGGCCUCUUGCCAUCGGAUGUGCCCAGAUGGGAUUAGCUAGUAGGUGGGGUAACGGCUCACCUAGGCGACGAUCCCUAGCUGGUCUGAGAGGAUGACCAGCCACACUGGAACUGAGACACGGUCCAGACUCCUACGGGAGGCAGCAGUGGGGAAUAUUGCACAAUGGGCGCAAGCCUGAUGCAGCCAUGCCGCGUGUAUGAAGAAGGCCUUCGGGUUGUAAAGUACUUUCAGCGGGGAGGAAGGGAGUAAAGUUAAUACCUUUGCUCAUUGACGUUACCCGCAGAAGAAGCACCGGCUAACUCCGUG